This 1020-nucleotide long non-coding RNA is filed under the name Marmota monax (woodchuck). The record is from RNAcentral. Lineage: Eukaryota; Metazoa; Chordata; Mammalia; Rodentia; Sciuridae.
UCCCUGCAGAAAACAUGUGGGCUGACAAAUUAUUAUCAAAUUUGCUUCUUUAGGCUGGAAUCAAAGUAAAGCAAAAUAAUUAUAAUUAGAAGCUGUAACAGUUUCUGCCUUCAAAAUAUGAUAGGUGACACUGCCAAGAAGAGGGGAAAAUUAAGCUAAAUAUACAUAUAAAUUAUGUAAAAUUACAAAUUAAAAGGUGGAGGUUAUCAUUAUGUAUAUAAACAAAACCAAUUCUAUGCUUCCUCUAAAAAACUCAUUUAUAAAUAGGUUAAAAAUAAAAACAUGUAAUAAAAGUGCCAUGGUAACAGUAGCCAAAAGAAAGCUGAUACAGUUAUUUUAUAUCUGACAAAGUAGAUUUCAGAGCAAAGGAUAUUUGAGGGGAUAGAGGGGACUUGUUUGUAAUGAUAAUGGGGUCAAUUAUUCAAGAGGACCAAGCAACCAUAACAUUUAUAAUCCAACUACAGAAUUUAAACUAAAAUAAAGCAGAAACUGAUGUAUCUGCAAGGAGACAUAGACAAACCUACAAUUAAAGCCUGAGUUAGACAAUGCAGAACUUUCUUGCCUGAGACAAGAGAAAUCAAUGCACUAAACAAAUGGGUGAAUCUCAAAAGAUAUAAUACUGAGUGGAAAAAAAAUCUAGACAAAAUAUAACACCUAUUAUAUUAUUAUAUUUACCUAUCAUUCUAGUAAAGAGAUCCAGAUCAAUAAGGACAGAAAGCAUAUUAUUGCCUUGGGAAUUUUAUUAUCUUGAUUAUGGUUACCAUUCUAUAAGCAUGUCCAGAUAUCAGAAGGUAUCAAAUCGUAGCUUUUAAACAUAUUAGGUUACAUUUUAAUUAUACUUUAAUAAUUCUGUUACAGAGGGAAAAAAAAGUCACUCUUGACCCAGCAAAUCUCCAUCUGUAGCCUCUAGCCAUGUCAGAAAUAGAAAGCCAGCACCUUGCCAGGGUCUGCUUUUAAGAGCGGUAGUAUCUAUUGUAAAUAUUAUUCUGAUCAAUAACAGACUAAUAUUUUAAUGUGUUA